UGAGACAGCAGUUGCAGUUGGGGUAGAACCUGAAAACAAGUUGCCUUACAACGAGUAUUAUGAAUAUUUUGGCCCAGAUUAUACUCUUCAUGUUGAACCAAUUCCCAUGGAGAAUCUAAAUUCACCUAGGGAUCUGGAGAAGAUGAGGAACAUAUUGCUUGAGCAAAUCUCUCAGUUGCCUCAUGCACCUAGUGUGCCAUUUCAGACCACUCCUUCUACAACAGAAGUCCCAGAGGAGAAAGAGGAAAAUAUGGAUCGAAGGCCUAAACCACGGAUAUGGAAUGGUGAUGGUUAUGAGUCUGAUGCUGAUGAAGACGAGAAACCUAGACAGCGAAGUUCAGAUAGUAAUCUUACUCCAGUGGAAUCAUCUGACAUGAGGGAUGUGGACGACCAAGCCAAUGCAGAUGACAUGGUUGAUGAUCAUCCCUAGUUCAAAGCUCUUCUACAUCGUCUCAAAAUGCAAUGACUGAUACUAUUUUUGGGUCGGAAGUAACAAGCCUUGCUAUUUGACCUUUCGCCUCUCAUGAGCAAUUGUUUUGAUGUCUCUUUUGCUGAAAAUGGAACUAGAAAAAUGAGUUGUUAUAGUAGAUUGUAGUUAGUUGGAUAUAGGCUAGUGAUUGAUGAAUGAGAGCACAAUGCUGUCUCUCGUAAAUGGACCGGUGCACCACAAAGUAGACUUUGUUCUUAUGGAUACUGCUUAUUACAUACAAAUAUUAUCAGUGUUCUGCAAGAGUUAUCUGUGCAGUUCUGUGGAUUUAUCCAUGUACUUUUG
This 772-nucleotide unclassified non-coding RNA is filed under the name Hevea brasiliensis (rubber tree). Lineage: Eukaryota; Viridiplantae; Streptophyta; Magnoliopsida; Malpighiales; Euphorbiaceae. The record is from RNAcentral.